Molecule: transfer RNA, 77 nt
Filed under: Agitococcus sp.
Lineage: Bacteria; Pseudomonadati; Pseudomonadota; Gammaproteobacteria; Moraxellales; Moraxellaceae
Description: tRNA-Ile
Rfam family: tRNA
About the family: Transfer RNA (tRNA) molecules are approximately 80 nucleotides in length.
Source: RNAcentral
GUCCCUUUAGCUCAGGUGGUUAGAGCGCUCAACUCAUAAUUGAGAGGUCGCUGGUUCGAAACCAGCAAGGGGCACCA